This 29-nucleotide small RNA is filed under the name Bombyx mori (domestic silkworm). RNAcentral's name for it is "ovarian small RNA-27384". The record is from RNAcentral. Lineage: Eukaryota; Metazoa; Arthropoda; Insecta; Lepidoptera; Bombycidae.
UCCCUCACUACUGAGGAUCGCGACCACAU